Molecule: long non-coding RNA, 808 nt
Organism: Gossypium arboreum
Lineage: Eukaryota; Viridiplantae; Streptophyta; Magnoliopsida; Malvales; Malvaceae
Exons: 3
Source: RefSeq, a predicted model, not a curated record
AAAAAAUAAAUAUAUUUGGGGUUACAAAGCCCAAUAUCCCUAUGGUCCAAAAAACAGAAAAAAUGGAAAAUAAUUAAUAGUAAUAUGGGGAAAUGGGAAAACACAGGAUCCCAGACUUGGCGUUUGACUAAAUUAGUUGUAAACGGCAUGCCGUUAAUAACGUCGAAUGAUUCGUGCUCUUCUUUCGUAGAAUCUGGCUUCAUGGAUUUGUAUCUAUGAUCGAGUUUCAAUGCUGUUCUACAGAUAGCUUCCUUCUAUACUAUCUGAAAUACGAAUCAAGGAGAGCGUCACUUGCAUGUUCAUCUGUUUCUAUAAAUGCAGUUAUUUUCCUGGAUUCAGAAGUGAUACCAUGCUCAUGGCUGUGAUGAUAAAUACAAAGUUAAUCAGCAUCUUGAGUUUUACCCUCCCAUUUUGUAAUCAUGUUGGUCUCGAAAAUUUAUCCAUAGUCAGUAUUUCUGUUGUGAUAAGCAGUCUAUCUAAACAUAGUGCCAGUAUGUGAUCGAGCAGCAGGUGGCACACGUGUUUGUGAAUGAUUAUGAGGAUGGAAAUGUUUUAAUCCAAACUUAUGGUCAUGAUUUUGAUGGUUCCAUGUGAAUAAAUGUACACCUGUAGCAGUAUGAUUGACUAAUGAUUUUAAUAGGAUCCACUGUAACAGAUCAUGGCAUGGUGUUGUUAUGAUUUGGUGACUGGCAACUGAUAGUUGUGUUACUUAUCAUGUUUUUUAUAAGAUGGCCCUGUUUAAGGGAUGAAGAUGGUUACAUUAUAUUGGAUAUAAUGAGAAGAUGGUUGAAGUAAGAUUAUAUAAUAA